This 313-nucleotide small nuclear RNA is filed under the name Octodon degus (degu). Its description in RNAcentral is "7SK RNA (ENSODEG00000024160.1)". It matches the Rfam family "7SK RNA". From Rfam's summary of the family: 7SK was discovered as an abundant small nuclear RNA in the mid-70s but a possible function has only recently been suggested. Two independent studies have found that 7SK RNA binds the CDK9/cyclin T complex (known as elongation factor P-TEFb). P-TEFb activates transcription by phosphorylating the C-terminal domain of RNA polymerase II. Lineage: Eukaryota; Metazoa; Chordata; Mammalia; Rodentia; Octodontidae. The record is from Rfam by way of RNAcentral.
GCAUGUGAGGGUGAUCUGGCUGUGAUAUCUGUCACCCCGUUGAUCUCCAGGGCUAAUUUGGAUGAUCUGGCUGGCUAGGUGGGUGUCCCCUUCCACCCUCAGUGCUCCAUGUACCUCUCUCCUGAAGCUGCGUGCUCAGUGGGAGAGGAUGACUCUUCCUGAGAGAGGAGGACCACUCCUCAGCAAGGAUAUAUGAGUAUGUUUGUGCCCCUGCUAGACCUUUGAAACAAGCUCUCAAACUCACAGGGACAGAUGAUGUGUGAAAAGGAACGGAGAAACAAGAGAAAGCACACCUGCCUGCUUGAGCUGGGGC